Non-coding RNA from Vicia faba (fava bean), 234 nucleotides. Lineage: Eukaryota; Viridiplantae; Streptophyta; Magnoliopsida; Fabales; Fabaceae. The record is from the annotation of a GenBank genome assembly.
AUGGAUGAAAGCGUCUUGGCUCUGCGGACUAUGGCGGAGCGACGACUUCCGUGCCGGAAUCGUGCGGGUCUACUGCGGCCGGUUGUGCAAUCCUGGUCGGGUUGUGAGGAUGAUGGCGGACUGGAGAGGUUGUUGAGGUUGUUGGAGCGUGACGGCAAGGCUGUUGGUUGCUGGUUGUUGGAUGAAGGCAAGCUAGCGGUACCACGGAGGGAGAACGGCGGUGAGGUGAACUGA